This is a long non-coding RNA of Oreochromis aureus, 1488 nucleotides long. RefSeq lists it as uncharacterized. The transcript has 3 exons. Lineage: Eukaryota; Metazoa; Chordata; Actinopteri; Cichliformes; Cichlidae. The record is from RefSeq and is a predicted model, not a curated record.
UUGCAACAAAAAAGAAACAGGUGUGUUGGAUACACAUCUGUACCAUGAACUAGUGAUGGGUCGGUUGUGAACGAAGCGGCUCUCAGGGACGGCUCUUUGAAGUGAACGACAGGAGCCGGCUCCUUGUUGGGAGUAGUGGGAGGUGUUCUCCCUCCUUCUCUCACCCUCUCUCUCGCCGCAUGUGAGCCUUGUGUUACGCUGAGCAGAGGGGGGGGGAGGGUGCAAAAAGCCUUGUGUUUGUGCUGAGCAAAGGGGGAAGGGGCUGAGGGAAGAAGAGGAGGUUACACUUGCAGCAGCAGUUGCACAUGAACAGAGCAGGAAGGUGAGAGAGAAAGUGAGCAGGGGACAACAACAAGAGACAAAAUCAACACAGUCAUCUCUACCCUGGCAGUUAAAAUGCACCGGUUGACCCUCUGAGCCAAGAGGAAUGGGAGGUACUACAGGAGAACUGUCCAGUUCCGCAGAAUGGAAUAUAACACCGUUUUCUCUGAAACCACCAUUCUUGAUCCAAGAUUCAAGAAGCUGGUCUUUUAACAGAGCGGUGGAUGAAGCUCUUAAGAGAAUAACUGCAGCAGAAAGAUCCAGCCAACCAACUCCACUGCCAGGGGACCAAGAUUGAGAAGAGCCAGAAGAGGGUGAACAAAAGGAGCAACAAGCAUCUGCUGUUUGGAGGUUCUUUGAGCAAGUAGAGACACUAUCAGAAGGAAUCCCUCACCAGAUGUAGUACUGGAAGUGAGAUACUACAUUGACGAGCCCCUUUGCCAGAGAAGUGCAGACCCACUGAGCUGAAACUGCCAUGUACCCCCUCCUCCUAACCUCACAGACAAACUCCCAUCCUGUCACAUCUCUACUCUACAUCCUUAUGUGCUGUCGCGAAAUCAAUCAAAAUGCAGAGCAGUGAAACAAACCACGGAGGCCCCAGAAGACUGCAAUCAAACGUAUAUAUCACCUGGACAGUCGCACCAGUGAAACUUAAGACCCUUUUGGAUGGAACAUCAACUCCAAAUAAGCACAAAUAUGCAAAGUGUAUAGAUUGAUCAUAACUAAACCUGUAAAUAGAAAAGGUCAAUGUGAUGACAAACAUCUUCAAUACAAUAUGAACCCUGUAAGAAAUAUUACUAAUAGAAUAAUGCUGUAAAAUAUGUUAUUAAUGCAAUUAUAAUAAUGCAGGUUAUAUGGCAGCAAUAAAAGAAUUUCUGUAUCUCCACAGUCCCUAUUAUUCUACUCUAUGUGAGAACAAAGUAACGGUGCUCGAUCUAAUACUUUAUCUGACUCCUACAUGCUUCCCUUUACAUUGUUUGUUUGUGUGUGUGUGUGCGUGUGUGUGAAUCUCCACAUAAACAAAAUGAAGAGUAAGUUGUCAUGAGAGUGAGUCAUGCUGAGAGUCACUGCUCACCUAAUGCGGAGUUUUUAAUGGUCAAAUGCAGAUCGUAUUAUCUCCCCAGAGAACUCACUUCGAUCAUACUCACUGCCGUGUAUAUACCCCCU